RNAcentral lists this unclassified non-coding RNA (4952 nucleotides) under Sitophilus oryzae (rice weevil). RNAcentral's name for it is "27 kDa hemolymph glycoprotein-like, transcript variant X2". Lineage: Eukaryota; Metazoa; Arthropoda; Insecta; Coleoptera; Curculionidae. The record is from RNAcentral.
GCGGCUCAGUCAACUAUAUCGCUACCUCCGGAUCAAACCGUGUUCUAAAAAAGCGGCACCUAAACAUUUAUUUUUACAGUUUCUUGUGCAUAUACACAUAUUUUGUCAUAUUUUUAUUCGCGUGUGUUAUUAAGGACAUUAAUCAGAAUGAAUUGCAACAUUUUGUACUUCGUGUUUCUGUCAAUUAUCGGCUGUGCUUUCGGACAAAUAUCAAAUAACUUAGAUUUAGACACAUCUAAGCUAUCAAAAGAUAUGGAAACAAAUUUAAAGGAUCUGGGAAAGACAUUUCAAGAAAAUGGUGUUAACUUGCCAGAAUUAAAUGUGACAAGCGUGAAUGUAGAAAAGGUGGAACAAGUUUUAAGAGAAAAAUGCGAAAAACAAGGUGCUGGAGAUGUCGUAGACUCGAUUAAGGACAAACAAGAAGAAAUUAAAAACUGCGUUACUGAGAACGUCAACGUUACCCAAGUCCAGGAGGAAUUGGAAGAAGCGAAGAAAACUGGAUCAAUGGAUGUUGUGUUCGCAAAGUACUGCAAAAAAUGGCCGGAAAUAUACGAAUGUGUUGAGAAUGUUACAAGCGAGGUGCGUAGAUGUUUGAGCGAAACCGAGGAGAAAACCUUCAACAGAACGCUAACGAUUGUUAGCGAACUGCAAGAAUUUAUGUGCUAUAAGGAUGGAGAUCGUUUGGCAAUGUUUGUUGCUGAAGGAGGAGUUGAGUGCGUCGAAAAACAAAAGGAUGGCAUUCAAGACUGCUUAAAUGCGACAUUAAAAGAUAGGUUACCGUCAGAUGUAGAUGAAUUAUCUGUUGCAUCAUUGCCUGUGUUGGCUUUUAACCAAGAAACUUGCCAAGAUUUUGCCACAAUUCGUGACUGCGUCACAAACGUUUUGGAAAAGUGCGAGAAUACCACUCCGGCUAACAUAGUUGAUGCUUUCUUUAAAUUUUUGAAGAAACAAAUGCCCUGUGGAGAACCAGCGGUACAAACAGUUGCAGCCAGUCAGCAGCCUAAGAGCUCCGGCGUGAGUCUAAGCUCCUCCUUGGUCACCUUUGUCGUAAUGAUACUUUCCAGAUUUUAUUAAUUGAGUUUAUUACAUAUUUUUAUUUUAAAAAUUGAUAGGGCAUUUGAUUUGUUUGAUACUGUUCUUUUAGUUGAAUACAUACAUAUAAUAAUAUGUUAAAUUAUUAAAUAGAAACCAUACCAAAAACUAAUUAUGGCCAGCUUUUGUAUAGAUGGACUAAUUAAAAGAAAAUAAUAUGUAAUUUGUAUUAAUAAUAUAAACACAUUUGAACUUUUAAUGUUGCUUGACGUAAUCAAACACAUAAUUGUAAUUACAAAUUAAAAUGCCGGGUGCAUACUAAAAAUUCAAUCACAGGCACGAAAAACGGGCACUUUCAAAUUUUGAUAUAUUUUAGAGUUUAAUAGGUAUAUUUUGUUCUACUGGGCCGAUUUUGAUGAUUUUUUAAGCAAUUUGUAGACCUCUCUUCAGUCCUUCACCCUACGUGAGAGUAUGGUGACAUCAUGUCUUGAUUCCCCUCACUUCCUCGGACCAAGUUGUUCGACACUGCACCAUAUGUGAGGCUUCGGGGAGGUUGUGGCCCACUAGGGUUUUGAUUUGGUCUACCCACCUCUUAGGUGACCUUCCACGUGAUCGUCUUCCCUCUACCUUCCCUUCCAUCAGUCUCUCAAUUGACGUGCCACUCCUGGCAAUAUGGCCACAAUAUCGGAGGAUUGACUGAUUUAAUUUGGUAACCAGGCGUGUCUCAAUUUUUAGUUCUUCAAUAAUAGAAAUGUUUGUUCGACGAGCGGUUCAUGGUAUUCGCAGCAGCCGUCGAUCUACUCACAUCUCCAAGGUGUUUAUUCUUUGCUUAUCACGUUCCAUUAGUGUCCAUAUUUCAGAGCCAUACAUAGCUAUGGAGAAAAUGGGGGAGUUUGUAAUGCGCAGUUUAGUUUUCCGUUUGAUUACUGAAGUUUUCCAUAUCUUAGGCUAAGAACAUAGUGAAGCGACGAGGAUAGCGGCAAGCAAGCCUCGAGGUGCUGAAACAUAGUAGAUCGGCGAGGAAUAGCGAGGUACUUGUGCAAAUUUAUUAUUUUCAUUUGCUUAUUGAUAAUUUAAAAUGUUAACAGUGGCAAAAAUUAUGGGCAGUAGUGUCGCAAACAUUUGGUUACAUGAAAUUUUCAAAAACCGGAGAAAGUGUGGCAAGUUUUAUAACCUUCACGAAAAUUUGUGGCCACUUCAUCUCAUAACUUAUCUAAAAUGUACCGGUUAUAGUGAUUACUAUCUUUCUGAUCCCAUAAAAUCUCUCUUACAAGUACUAAAUCUGUUAAUUUUUGGGAAUCUAUCAUUUUCUACAGCGCGACAGGGCCACGAAAACAAAAUUAUUUGAAUCGAUCUCACCGCUCGAUCUAACCGCUCGAGCAGAUCGCUUUACUACGUUCGGACGUACUUGUCUUCACAGGUUUGUUUUGAACGCAAUGUCGCGUUGCUUGCUCGCCGCUAUCCUCGUCGCUCCACUAUGUUCUUAGCCUUAGUCAGCUUUGUUGUUGCAUUCCUUGCCAUUGCAACUCUGCGCUUGAUUUCAGCCUCGCACCCUCCAGAGUUUGCUAUCGUGGAACCUAAAUAGUUGAACUGGCUCACAACCUUGUAUCCAGCCACGAUUCGGACAUCAGGUUGGUUGUUGCGGAGGCGGUCAAUCAUCGUCUUGGUUUUCCGUUUGCUUAGUUCCAAGCCAUAUUCUUUACUAAUAGAGCACAGUACAGCCAUAACUUCCUGCAACUCUUCUUUGCUGGCGGCUAUAAUUACGGCUAUAAUCAUCCGCGUAUCUCAGGUUAUUUAUCCUCCUGCCCCCAUGGAUAUCCCAACGUUCCAUUUUUCUAUUACUCGACGCAUGAUAUAUUCAGUGUAGAUAUUAAACAGGAUUGGCGAGAGUAUACAUCCCUGCAGGGCCGCGCCGACCCCUGGCAAAACCUAUGAUGCGCCUUUUUUGUCGUCUUUAUUCGACAUGACAUUUUUUUAUUUUUAAUAUUUGGACUGAAAUAUGUUCUGCAGUUUUAUAUAAUUUUUAAAUAUAUUAUUUUCCUAAAUAUGUAAAAACGGUGCGCUUCCGCUUGUCAAUUACUACCAUUUAUAGUAUGGCCAUCGUGCUCAUAAUCAACUCUUUGGAGUUUUACGACCUCUGGAUCUCUGGAUCAGGAAGUUUAAAAUUCAGCUUCGACAUUUAACUUUUUGGCAAUUUACAUGGUAUCAUUUACAAAAUUUGUGAAAAUUUUUGUCGGUUCUAAUUUCUAUCAAAAACUUCUUUAAUUCCGUUUAAGCAUCUAAAGCUUCUUGCAUAUUCAUAUCGAUGGAUUGUUGACUUGCUUUCACAAAAUUUACUGUUGUCAAUAAUAUAUGUCAUGCCUAUACAUUUAGUAAAGAAAUAAAUGAAAAAGUACAUAUUUUUUCUGAAAUUAGACAUUUAGCAACAAAAUAAAAGACUAAUUCACCACAAUUCACCUAAGCACUUUACUUUUCCACUGAACGCGCCUUUCACUAAUCAUGUUCAUUAAGCAUCAUCAGCAGAUUAUUAUUAAAACUGACGCGUCCAGUGCAAAAGUUAAGUGUUUGAUAUACUGUGGUGAAUUAGGGUUUUAUAUUGCUGUUGUAACACCAAAGGCUCUAAGUAUAAUAAACAUUUAGCGUCAUAUUUUUUCUUCUGAUCGAAUGAUGCAGGUGCCAUUUGAUAUAUCAUACCUAUAAGGAAUACAUUUGGGAUAAAUUUGUAUACCAAUUUUUGUUUUAUUUUCAUUUUGCUUGACCAUCUGUUUUCGGAUAAUGGUUUUAAGGUUAGAUUUAAAAUAUAUUUUUUUAAUAAAUCCCAUCUUUUGAUAGAGGACGAAAAAUAUCUAUAUAAUUUUUGCACAAUGCUAAAUAAUCCAGUCGUAAUAAUUGAGGUUGACAGUGUCCUUUACUGCUAGCGAAGGGUAUAUGUAUAUAAAAAGCGCGAGGUUUAGACCCAGUAAAUUUUUUUUGAAGACCAUUGUUCUUACCGAGCAUAUUUUAAGACCCACAUUCAUUUUUUUAGUUCUUCUACGAGUAUUAUAAACGAUGUUAAGCCAGCGCCAUCUGUAUAGAUAAUCAUACAAAACGCUAGAAAAUGCUUUCCUAUUUUAAACAUUUUAGUUUCUGUGUUAAAACUGACAAAUCUUAUAAUGUUACAAAUUUGCUCUAGGUACGUGUCAGCAGUGCAUUCAGCAGUACAACUCAGUAUUAUUUAAAAAAUGGCGCUGGCACUUCAUCCGGCGCCCCUAUUGCUAUAGCGCCUGUGUGCGCCGCAUACUUCGCACACAUGGGCGGCUCGGCCCCGCAUCCCUGUCUCACACUUGCGUUUCUCUUGAAACCAUUCGAUAACGUGUUAAUUUGUAGAUACAUUAUUUGAAUUUUUAGUAUCUCUUUCUAAAUUAAAAGUUAAAAUUUCCAUCUGUCAUUUGGGGGGAAAACAAAAUGUUGAUGUUAACAAAGCAAGGAAUUUAAAAACUAUUUUAUCAUCUUGGCGCGUCUUUUUCAUUAGUUUGUUUUUUCAUUCAUCUCAUUAGUUUUGUUUUUAUUGGAUACAUUCGCUUUUGAAUAAGACAGUAACUAUUUACAGCAAUGAUGGCAUUGUUUUUAGGUCUUCAUCAACACACUUAUAAAAUAGAGUGUAUUGUUUUGGUAAUAUCACUAUCAUUGAAAAGUCAUAUUACUAUUGUUUACUGACGUUUACUCUAGAAGAGAUUGUUUUAAGUUUUGAAGCAUCGGCUGUUGUUGCCUUAAUUGAUUCUGGUAGAGAUCAACUUUUGGACUUAAAACCAAUCUGCUAGAGUAACUGCCCAACAGACAACAAUAAUUCAAUUUUUGAAAGACAAUCACAUUACAUAAAUCAUAAACACUAUUUUAUAGGUCUGUUUUCUAGGAGUAAAAGCAAAGGCGUGGUUUUAAUG